AGAGUUUGAUCAUGGCUCAGAGUGAACGCUGGCGGCAGGCCUACCACAUGCAAGUCGAGCGGCAGCGCGGGGCAACCUGGCGGCGAGCGGCGGACGGGUGAGGAAUGCAUCGGAAUCUACCCUGUCGUGGGGGAUAACGUAGGGAAACUUACGCUAAUACCGCAUACGACCGAGAGGUGAAAGUGGGGGACCGCAAGGCCUCACGCGAUUGGAUGAGCCGAUGCCGGAUUAGCUAGUUGGUGGGGUAAAGGCCUACCAAGGCGACGAUCCGUAGCUGGUCUGAGAGGAUGAUCAGCCACACUGGGACUGAGACACGGCCCAGACUCCUACGGGAGGCAGCAGUGGGGAAUAUUGGACAAUGGGCGCAAGCCUGAUCCAGCCAUGCCGCGUGUGUGAAGAAGGCCUUCGGGCUGUAAAGCACUUUUGUUCGGGAAGAAAUCGUGCGGAUUAAUACUUCGUACGGAUGACGGUACCGAAAGAAUAAGCACCGGCUAACUUCGUGCCAGCAGCCGCGGUAAUAC
Molecule: ribosomal RNA, 521 nt
Filed under: uncultured bacterium
Lineage: Bacteria
Description: bacterial SSU rRNA
Rfam family: Bacterial small subunit ribosomal RNA
Source: RNAcentral